GACGAACGCUGGCGGCGUGCUUAACACAUGCAAGUCGAACGGUGAAGCGCCUUCCUUUUUGGUGGGUGUGGAUGAGUGGCGAACGGGUGAGUAACACGUGAGUAACCUGCCCCCUUCUGCUGGAUAACCGCAUGAAAGUGUGGCUAAUACGGGAUAUUCUGGGUCUGUCGCAUGAUGGGUCUGGGAAAGAUAUUGUUUCGGUGGGGGAUGGGCUCGCGGCCUAUCAGCUUGUUGGUGGGGUGAUGGCCUACCAAGGCGGUGACGGGUAGCCGGCCUGAGAGGGUGGACGGUCACACUGGGACUGAGGCACGGCCCAGACUCCUACGGGAGGCAGCAGUGGGGAAUAUUGCACAAUGGGCGCAAGCCUGAUGCAGCGACGCCGCGUGAGGGAUGGAGGCCUUCGGGUUGUGAACCUCUUUCGCCAGUGAAGCAGGCCUGCCUCGUUUGUGGGUGGGUUGACGGUAGCUGGAUAAGAAGCGCCGGCUAACUACGUG
This 494-nucleotide ribosomal RNA is filed under the name uncultured bacterium. RNAcentral's name for it is "partial 16S ribosomal RNA". It matches the Rfam family "Bacterial small subunit ribosomal RNA", at positions 28 to 507 of the family's 1533-position model. The record is from RNAcentral.